GACGAACGCUGGCGGCGUGCUUAACACAUGCAAGUCGAACGGAAAGGCCCUGCUUUUGUGGGGUUCUCGAGUGGCGAGCGGGAGAGUAACACGUGAGCAACCUGCCCUUGACUUUGGGAUAACUUCAGGAAACUGGGGCUACUACCUGAUAGGAGCUCCUGCUGCAUGGUGGUGGUUGGAAAGUUUCGGCUGUUGGGGAUGGACUCGGGGUUUAUCAGCUUGUUGGUGGGGUAGUGGCUUACCAAGGCUUUGACGGGUAGCCGGCCUGAGAGGGUGACCGGCGACAUUGGGACUGAGAUAGGGCCCAGACGCCUAUGGGAGGCAGCAGUGGGGAAUAUGGCACAAUGGGGGGAAGCGUGAUGCAGCAACGCCGGGAGCGGGAUGACGGCUUUCGGGUUGUAAACCGCUUUCGCCUGUGACGAAGCGUGUGUGACGGUAAUGGGUAAAGAAGCACCGGCUAACUACGUG
Molecule: ribosomal RNA, 468 nt
Filed under: uncultured bacterium
Lineage: Bacteria
Description: partial 16S ribosomal RNA
Rfam family: Bacterial small subunit ribosomal RNA
Source: RNAcentral